GUGUGUUAUAUGUGGUCACACGGGACUGCCGGUCUUAAGCCGGAGGAAGGUGGGAUGAUGUCAAGUCAGCAUGGCUUUACUAUCCUGGGCUACACACACGCUACAAUGGCCAACACAAUAGGUUGCUAAGCCGCGAGGUGGCGCCAAUCCAAUAAAGUUGGUCUCAGUUCAGAUUGUAGGCUGCAACCCGCCUGCAUGAAGAUGGAGUUGCUAGUAACCGCAGGUCAGCUAUACUGCGGUGAAUACGUUCCCGGGGCUU
This 259-nucleotide ribosomal RNA is filed under the name uncultured Leptolinea sp. RNAcentral's name for it is "partial 16S ribosomal RNA". It matches the Rfam family "Bacterial small subunit ribosomal RNA", at positions 1110 to 1382 of the family's 1533-position model. Lineage: Bacteria; Bacillati; Chloroflexota; Anaerolineae; Anaerolineales; Anaerolineaceae. The record is from RNAcentral.